This 763-nucleotide ribosomal RNA is filed under the name uncultured bacterium. RNAcentral describes it as "bacterial SSU rRNA". It matches the Rfam family "Bacterial small subunit ribosomal RNA", at positions 62 to 859 of the family's 1533-position model. The record is from RNAcentral.
UCGCACGAGAAAGUGGAGCAUCCAUGAGUACAGUGGCGUACGGGUGAGUAACACGUGGAUUAUCUACCUUCUAGUGGGGAAUACCUCCGGGAAACUGGAGACAAUACCGCAUAAGCUCGUAAGAGGAAAGCAGCAAUGCGCUGGAAGAGGAGUCCGCGGCUGAUUAGCUAGUUGGCGGGGUAACGGCCCACCAAGGCGAAGAUCGGUAGCCGGCCUGAGAGGGCACACGGCCACACUGGCACUGAAACACGGGCCAGACUCCUACGGGAGGCAGCAGUGGGGAAUCUUGCACAAUGGGGGCAACCCUGAUGCAGCGACGCCGCGUGAGCGAUGAAGCCCUUCGGGGUGUAAAGCUCUUUCGGCAGGGAAGAUUAUGACGGUACCUGCAGAAGCAGCUGCGGCUAACUACGUGCCAGCAGCCGCGGUAAUACGUAGGCAGCGAGCGUUGUUCGGAGUUACUGGGCGUAAAGGGUGUGUAGGCGGUUCUUUAAGUUUGGUGUGAAAUCUCCCGGCUCAACCGGGAGGGUGCGCCGAAUACUGAGGGACUAGAGUACGGGAGAGGAAAGUGGAAUUCCUGGUGUAGCGGUGAAAUGCGUAGAUAUCAGGAGGAACACCGGUGGUGUAGACGGCUUUCUGGACCGUAACUGACGCUGAGACACGAAAGCGUGGGUAGCAAACAGGAUUAGAUACCCUGGUAGUCCACGCCCUAAACGAUGCAUAUUUGGUGUGGGUCAUUCAGUUGAUCCGUGCCGGAGCUAACGCG